CUGUAAGACUGGGAUAACUUCGGGAAACCGAAGCUAAUACCGGAUAGGAUCUUCUCCUUCAUGGGAGAUGAUUGAAAGAUGGUUUCGGCUAUCACUUACAGAUGGGCCCGCGGUGCAUUAGCUAGUUGGUGAGGUAACGGCUCACCAAGGCAACGAUGCAUAGCCGACCUGAGAGGGUGAUCGGCCACACUGGGACUGAGACACGGCCCAGACUCCUACGGGAGGCAGCGGAAGGGAAUCUUCCGCAAUGGACGAAAGUCUGACGGAGCAACGCCGCGUGAGUGAUGAAGGCUUUCGGGUCGUAAAACUGUGUUGUUAGGGAAGAACAAGUACGAGAGUAACUGCUCGUACCUUGACGGUACCUAACCAGAAAGCCACGGCUAACUACGUGCCAGCAGCCGCGGUAAUACGUAGGUGGCAAGCGUUAUCCGGAAUUAUUGGGCGUAAAGCGCGCGCAGGCGGCUUCUUAAGUCUGAUGCGGAAGCCCACGGCUCAACCGUGGAGGGUCAUUGGAAACUGGGGAACUUGAGUGCAGAAGAGAAAAGCGGAAUUCCACGUGUAGCGGUGAAAUGCGUAGAGAUGUGGAGGAACACCAGUGGCGAAGGGCGGCUUUUGGGCCUGUACUGACGCUGAGGCGCGAAAAGCGGGGGAGCAAACAGGAAAAGAAACCCGGGGGAGCCACGCCGGAAACGAAGAGGGC
RNAcentral lists this ribosomal RNA (700 nucleotides) under Bacillus sp. ADB_BD004. Its description in RNAcentral is "bacterial SSU rRNA". It matches the Rfam family "Bacterial small subunit ribosomal RNA", at positions 130 to 816 of the family's 1533-position model. The record is from RNAcentral. Lineage: Bacteria; Bacillati; Bacillota; Bacilli; Caryophanales; Bacillaceae.